GAUCUGCCCUGCACUUUGGGAUAAGCCUGGGAAACUGGGUCUAAUACCGAAUACACCUCUGGGGUUGCAUGACCUUGGGGGGAAAGCUUUUGCGGUGUGGGAUGGGCCCGCGGCCUAUCACUUGUUGGUGAGGUUAUGGCUCACCAAGGCGACGACGGGUAGCCGGCCUGAGAGGGUGACCGGCCACACUGGGACUGAGAUACGGCCCAGACUCUACGGGAGGCAGCAGUGGGGAAUAUUGCACAAUGGGCGCAAGCCUGAUGCAGCGACGCCGCGUGAGGGAUGACGGCCUUCGGGUUGUAAACCUCUUUCAGUAGGGACGAAGCGAAAGUGACGGUACCUGCAGAAGAAGGACCGGCCAACUACGUGCCAGCAGCCGCGGUAAUACGUAGGGUCCGHGCGUUGUCCGGAAUUACUGGGCGUAAAGAGCUCGUAGGUGGUUUGUCGCGUCGUUCGUGAAAACUCACA
This 468-nucleotide ribosomal RNA is filed under the name uncultured Mycobacterium sp. RNAcentral's name for it is "bacterial SSU rRNA". It matches the Rfam family "Bacterial small subunit ribosomal RNA", at positions 123 to 606 of the family's 1533-position model. Lineage: Bacteria; Bacillati; Actinomycetota; Actinomycetes; Mycobacteriales; Mycobacteriaceae. The record is from RNAcentral.